AUUACUUUAGCCUUCACUUCCAGGCAGCUCCUACCUAAUGCCGAAAUGCAUGUUUUCCAGUAAGACCACCACUGUUCACUACUGUUGCUAAGUCAAAGGAAUAACAGGCUUGUAGAUCAUUUACGACUUAAUUUAAAGGUUUAGCCCCCAGAGAGAACGCAAGAGAGGGAGAGAGAGGGAGUGUAAUGAAAUAAAACAGAUUUUAUGCUAAUUGCGUCCGUGCACGAUAAAGUGCACUAGGUCCAUUUAGCUUAUUGAUUGAGAGGGAGCUGUGGAGCAGCCGUCAGUCAGUUCAGCCCGCCACUGGGGAACAGGAAGAGUAACGCCGUCAGGAAUACAGUGUGCUCGGAUGAUCAUGAUUCGGGUUCUCUACAGUCAGUGGGUCUUCAUGGUGUCUGUGGAUGCCAAAAUGAAGAAAGGCUUUAGCACAUUCCUAAGGGGUUUUGAACUUUGAAUCCGGCGCGUAAUCGUAUUCUGUUCCACUGGCCUAGAGCUGUGGGUUAUUACCUUUCCAGUUCUUACAUUAUCAGGAACAAACAGGACAAAAAGAGCACAGAGUAUGGGACAUGAUGGAACAAAAUGAGACAAGAGGUUGGCACUCUAUCCAGGGUGUCCCCUGCCUUGUGCCUCGAGUUCCCUGGGAUAGGCUCCAAGCUUCCUGCAACCCUGUGUAGGAUAAGGGGGAGAACACUAACUCCAGGAUCUCAGCCUGUCUGUGAUGAUUUAUGAUUGUACAGGGGUGAAAUGUCUAUUCAAUCUUACUGCCCCUAGUGGGACAUAGUGUCUGUGUUUCUCUGACCAGCAAGUGAAAGUCUGGCUUACAGUAAUUCUCUCUCUCUCUCUCUCUCUCUCUCUCUCUCUCUCUCUCUGUCUCUCUGUGUGUGUGUGUGUGUGUGUGUGUGUGUGUGUGUGUGUGUGUGUGUGUGUGUGUGUUUAUUUGAGAGUCUGGCCAUAUGUUCUCUCUUCUCCAGGAGGCAAAUGGAUGUUAGAAUGGAGGUAAGGAUGGCCAUCCAUAAAGUCCUACAUACUGUAUGAGCUGAUCCAACCUGACCUUUUUAAUGAGCUCCAGAUGGCUGCAAAACCUCCAACAGAACCUGCAUCAGCUCUUACCUGGCCUGUAUGAUGUGUGUGUGUGUGUGUGUGUGUGUGUGUGUGUGUGUGUGUGUGUGUGUGUGUGUGUGUGUGUGUGUGUUUUCCUACAUGGGUGUAAACUGACUGAAUCCAGGCUGCAGGUGUAGUGUGUCAUGGCUAAGAUCUGUGUCCAGAGGGGGGAAAAAAACAAAGUUUCAAACAAAGUGCCCUUUGCCCUCACUCCACUCUGUGCCUCUCCCUGACUUGAUCAGUGAAACUUACCAUUAUAGCUGCACCUCCAACACUCUACUCUCUCUAAUCCAUUUCUCUAAACAUUUUAGCUCAUAUUCCUUCUGAUCUUAGCCCAUUUUCUGAGUCUUACUUAGCAGGAUUUCCUUGGUUAUGGGUAGCAUGAUCAGUAAUGUGAAAAGCAUGUGUGUAUGUAUGUGGAUAUAAUUUUAUACAUGAAGCUGCAGGUAUGUGUCAUCCACAUUUACUGCAGUGUAAAAGCAUGUCGAGAAACCCCGAGGAGAAUCUGCUGAUCAGUAGUGGUGAUGUAUUUUCUUCCUUUAAGGGAGUGAUAAAAACCCAGCUUCAUUGCAGAGAAACAUUGUUGGACAUUUUCUUUUUCCAGAAAACUAAAGCUACAUGGCUUUGAUUGACUAGCCUGAGAAGGAUUUCACAAUAUUUCUGUGUGAAGUAUACUCAAACAAAAAACCCACUGAAAACCUGAAAGGCGAACGCUUGUCAGUAUGAUGUUUUAGUGGUUUGACCCUUAAACUUUGUAGAUGGGAGUCUGAAUCCCCCACUGCUUAGUUUGCAGAGUUCGCUGUGGUCUGUCCCACUUUUAAGGUUAACCUUCAAGGUGUGAGGGAUUCCCAGCCACAUAUUUUUUUAAUUUAUCAGUACCACUCGCUCUGCUAAAGGGUGGUCUUUCACAUCGCCUUCGCUUGUGGGUUUGCGCGCCUACAUGUGGUGUGAUCAUUGUUUCGUUUCUUCACAGUCUUGCCCUCUAAUGCUGUCGUCCCUAUCACCAUCUUCCCCUCUUGAUCUUUCUCUACAAUAAAUGGUUUUCACAUUGUCUGGACUUUUUUUGGCUUUAAGACAGCAGAGGUCCUGAGUUGGUGGUUUUUAGGUGACAUUUUAUCUUCUGUUUGAUGGGAAUUCAGAUGUGUGAAGCCCCCCCCCCC
Molecule: long non-coding RNA, 2261 nt
Organism: Ictalurus punctatus (channel catfish)
Lineage: Eukaryota; Metazoa; Chordata; Actinopteri; Siluriformes; Ictaluridae
Source: Ensembl